This 537-nucleotide ribosomal RNA is filed under the name Bifidobacterium bifidum. Its description in RNAcentral is "bacterial SSU rRNA". It matches the Rfam family "Bacterial small subunit ribosomal RNA", at positions 153 to 702 of the family's 1533-position model. Lineage: Bacteria; Bacillati; Actinomycetota; Actinomycetes; Bifidobacteriales; Bifidobacteriaceae. The record is from RNAcentral.
GAAACGGGUGGUAAUGCCGGAUGUUCCACAUGAUCGCAUGUGAUUGUGGGAAAGAUUCUAUCGGCGUGGGAUGGGGUCGCGUCCUAUCAGCUUGUUGGUGAGGUAACGGCUCACCAAGGCUUCGACGGGUAGCCGGCCUGAGAGGGCGACCGGCCACAUUGGGACUGAGAUACGGCCCAGACUCCUACGGGAGGCAGCAGUGGGGAAUAUUGCACAAUGGGCGCAAGCCUGAUGCAGCGACGCCGCGUGAGGGAUGGAGGCCUUCGGGUUGUAAACCUCUUUUGUUUGGGAGCAAGCCUUCGGGUGAGUGUACCUUUCGAAUAAGCGCCGGCUAACUACGUGCCAGCAGCCGCGGUAAUACGUAGGGCGCAAGCGUUAUCCGGAUUUAUUGGGCGUAAAGGGCUCGUAGGCGGCUCGUCGCGUCCGGUGUGAAAGUCCAUCGCUUAACGGUGGAUCUGCGCCGGGUACGGGCGGGCUGGAGUGCGGUAGGGGAGACUGGAAUUCCCGGUGUAACGGUGGAAUGUGUAGAUAUCGGGA